AUCCGAGUGGUUUGUGCUAAACGAACCUUUUGUCGGUCCUAGAAACACCGAUGAAUAAGGGGUGGGCAAGUUCUGGUGUCAGCCGCCGCGGUAAAACCAGCACCUCAAGUGGUCAGGAUGAUUAUUGGGCCUAAAGCAUCCGUAGCCGGCUCUGUAAGUUUUCGGUUAAAUCUGUACGCUCAACGUACAGGCUGCCGGGAAUACUGCAGAGCUAGGGAGUGGGAGAGGUAGACGGUACUCGGUAGGAAGGGGUAAAAUCCUUUGAUCUAUUGAUGACCACCUGUGGCGAAGGCGGUCUACCAGAACACGUCCGACGGUGAGGGAUGAAAGCUGGGGGAGCAAACCGGAUUAGAUACCCGGGUAGUCCCAGCUGUAAACUAUGCAAACUCAGUGAUGCAUUGGCUUGUGGCCAAUGCAGUGCUGCAGGGAAGCCGUUAAGUUUGCCGCCUGGGAAGUACGUACGCAAGUAUGAAACUUAAAGGAAUUGGC
Molecule: ribosomal RNA, 489 nt
Filed under: uncultured euryarchaeote
Lineage: Archaea; Methanobacteriati; Methanobacteriota
Description: bacterial SSU rRNA
Rfam family: Archaeal small subunit ribosomal RNA
Source: RNAcentral